Molecule: unclassified non-coding RNA, 451 nt
Filed under: Hevea brasiliensis (rubber tree)
Lineage: Eukaryota; Viridiplantae; Streptophyta; Magnoliopsida; Malpighiales; Euphorbiaceae
Source: RNAcentral
GUUUUCUCCGCUUAAUUUCUUUCCCCUCUAUUUUUCACACAUCCAAACAAGGGGUUAGUUGUCACACUUAAUUUCCUUCCUCUCUAUUUUCAUUGACGUGUUAGUCACGCAAGCUUCUACCAGCAGCCUAAGCUUCUUCCAAAAAGAAGACGGCAAAAGCAAGAUUCCCAGUUUCCCACUCAACCAAGGCAAUGAAAAAUAAUUUGAGAAAACAAAAUGAAAAUUAAAAAAUAAAUCGCCGGAAGCUACUUUUAACUGUCAAAACAGCAUUUUACACGCCGGAAAACAGCUACUUGGAAACGCAGAGAGGGAAAUAAUAACACGGAACGAAACGAUUAAAAGGAAAACCGAUUAGAUCUCUAGAAUUGAACACAAAAUAUAUCAGUUUAUAUAUAUAUAUAUGAUAGAAAAUGAUUGAUGUAUACGUACCAUAUUGAAGAGACAAAGAAGC